RNAcentral lists this ribosomal RNA (253 nucleotides) under uncultured bacterium. Its description in RNAcentral is "partial 16S ribosomal RNA". It matches the Rfam family "Bacterial small subunit ribosomal RNA", at positions 524 to 776 of the family's 1533-position model. The record is from RNAcentral.
UACGUAGGGGGCGAGCGUUGUCCGGAUUCAUUGGGCGUAAAGAGCUCGUAGGCGGCUUGGCAAGCCGGGUGUGAAAACUCGAGGCUCAACCUCGAGACGCCGGUGGAAACCAUCAGACUAGAGUCCGGAAGAGGAGAGUGGAAUUCCUGGUGUAGCGGUGAAAUGCGCAGAUAUCAGGAAGAACACCCGUGGCUAAGGCGGCUCUCUAGUACGGUACUGACGCUGAGACGCGAAAGCGUGGGGAGCAAACAGG